Molecule: long non-coding RNA, 271 nt
Filed under: Lathyrus oleraceus (garden pea)
Lineage: Eukaryota; Viridiplantae; Streptophyta; Magnoliopsida; Fabales; Fabaceae
Description: Pisum sativum (pea) long non-coding RNA (PSAT_LNC031891)
Source: RNAcentral
AGUUGUUAGGGAAUAAGAAGAUGGAAAUCAAAUGGAGAUGGUGGUCGUGGAUCUUAAGGGUGGAGGGGGAAGACGAAGAGAAAAAGCUUCCCUUUUUCUUUAUACUUUUUGUUUUCUUUCUCUUUUACAGCAGAGAGAGCAGAGGUUCUGUGUGAGAGAAAAAGUGGGCCUUUCAGGAAGAAGAGGAACGAUCCCUCUUUUCUUUUUUUAUUAUUUCCUUUUUAUUGUUUUUAUCCUUUUCUUUUGGUGAGAGAGCAUAAGUCAAUCUGUG